RNAcentral lists this ribosomal RNA (885 nucleotides) under Sistotrema muscicola. Its description in RNAcentral is "eukaryotic LSU rRNA". It matches the Rfam family "Eukaryotic large subunit ribosomal RNA", at positions 69 to 935 of the family's 3401-position model. Lineage: Eukaryota; Fungi; Basidiomycota; Agaricomycetes; Cantharellales; Hydnaceae. The record is from RNAcentral.
CAAGGAUUCCCCUAGUAACUGCGAGUGAAGCGGGAAAAGCUCAAAUUUAAAAUCUGGUAGUCUUUGGCUGCCCGAGUUGUAAUCUGGAGAAGCGCUUUCCGCGCGGGACCGUGUACAAGUCUCCUGGAACGGAGCGUCAUAGAGGGUGAGAAUCCCGUCUUUGACACGGACUACCAGUGCUUUGUGAUGCGCUCUCAAAGAGUCGAGUUGUUUGGGAAUGCAGCUCAAAAUGGGUGGUAAACUCCAUCUAAAGCUAAAUAUUGGCGAGAGACCGAUAGCGAACAAGUACCGUGAGGGAAAGAUGAAAAGCACUUUGGAAAGAGAGUUAAACAGUACGUGAAAUUGCUGAAAGGGAAACGCUUGAAGUCAGUCGCGUUUGCUAGGACUCAGCCUUGCCUCGGCUUGGUGCAUUUCCUAGUAGGACGGGUCAACAUUACUUUUGGCUGGCGGAAAAAGGUCAGAGGGAAUGUGGCACCUUCGGGUGGUGGUUAUAGCCCUCUUGGCUAUACCCGUGGCUGGAAGUGAGGAAUUCAGCACGCUUUCAUGGCGGGGCUUCGGCCACCUUCGUGCUUAGGAUGCUGGCGUAAUGGCUUUAAACGACCCGUCUUGAAACACGGACCAAGGAGUCUAACAUGCCUGCGAGUGUUUGGGUGGAAAACCCGAGCGCGUAAUGAAAGUGAUAGUUGGGACCUCUGUCGUGGAGGGCACCGACGCCCGGACCAGACCUUCUGUGACGGAUCCGCGGUAGAGCAUGUAUGUUGGGACCCGAAAGAUGGUGAACUAUGCCUGAAUAGGGUGAAGCCAGAGGAAACUCUGGUGGAGGCUCGUAGCGAUUCUGACGUGCAAAUCGAUCGUCAAAUUUGGGUAUAGGGGCGAAAGACUAAU